AGGACGAACGCUGGCGGCGUGCUUAACACAUGCAAGUCGAGCGGAAAGGCCCUUCGGGGUACUCGAGCGGCGAACGGGUGAGUAACACGUGGGCAACCUGCCCCUAGCUCUGGGAUAACUCCGGGAAACCGGUGCUAAUACCGGAUAUGACCUCGAAUGGCAUCCUUUGAGGUGGAAAGAUUUAUUGGCUAGGGAUGGGCCCGCGGCCUAUCAGCUUGUUGGUGGGGUAAUGGCCUACCAAGGCGACGACGGGUA
RNAcentral lists this ribosomal RNA (255 nucleotides) under uncultured bacterium. Its description in RNAcentral is "partial small subunit ribosomal RNA". It matches the Rfam family "Bacterial small subunit ribosomal RNA", at positions 26 to 285 of the family's 1533-position model. The record is from RNAcentral.